RNAcentral lists this unclassified non-coding RNA (225 nucleotides) under plant metagenome. RNAcentral describes it as "partial contains small subunit ribosomal RNA and internal transcribed spacer 1". The stretch from base 1 to 46 matches the Rfam family "Eukaryotic small subunit ribosomal RNA", at positions 1786 to 1831 of the family's 1831-position model. The record is from RNAcentral.
AAGUCGUAACAAGGUUUCCGUAGGUGAACCUGCGGAAGGAUCAUUAAAGAAAUUCCGGCUUCGCGGCCAAGUUCUCACCCUUUGUAUACCGAAACUUAAUGUUGCCUUUUUUGGGAAGGGCCCCCCCGGCAAUUUUUCUCGGGGGGCCCCCUUGCCCCAAGAAGGGGUUUUUUAAAAACCCCUAGAAUAAUUCUGCCUGUCUGAGUACUAUAACAAUAGUUAAAA